Molecule: long non-coding RNA, 2324 nt
Organism: Equus asinus (donkey)
Lineage: Eukaryota; Metazoa; Chordata; Mammalia; Perissodactyla; Equidae
Source: Ensembl
GUGAAAUCCAAAAAUUCAUCACCAAGACCAAUGUCCAGGAGCUUACCACUUAUGUUUUCUUCUAAGAGUUUUGUGAUUUCAGUUAUUAGAUUCAAAUCUUUAAUCCAUUUUGAGUUAGGUUUUGUGUAUGGUAUAAGAUAGAGGUCCAGUUUCAUUCCUUUACAUUUGGCUGUUCAAUUUUCCCAAUACCAUUUAUAGGAGCGAAUGUCCUUUCCCCAUUGUAUCUUCUUGGCUCCUUUGCAUGGACUUAUUUCUAGCCUCACUUGAAAGAAAUCUUAAGACUCACAGAGCAUACUCAUGUAAGGCCUUUACCUAAAGGCCACAGAGGCAGUGCAACAAGAAAAAGAGAAUGCAGACAAACAUUUGGGAUCCUGGGGACUUCCAAGGGCAAUCUCCCCAGGGUUCUUAUUCACACAUCACCUGCGUUCUGCCUUCAGAUUAAACUACCAAGAUCUGUGUAAGGACUUGUAGUUCUGGGGAAGCUCAAGAAAGAAGUUUCCCUCUGAGUUUUUAUUCCCCACUGGUCAUGUUUUCAAGUUAGGCUACCUAACUGGUUGUGCCGGGUGAAAACCAUGAGUCAACAAACUGGCCCUAGAGGUUGCCAUGUGAGUUUAAACUUUAAACAGCACAUUAUAAAUUCCACUACUCUUGUCUUUGCCAAGAGUCAAAGGCAGACAACCAAGAGUCCCCAGUGAUAAGACUAUACAUUUUUUUAUCCAGUUCGGCUAUAAGGUUUAACAGGUUUUGGCUAUGUGACAAGAGAGGGAUAAAAGAACACUCAAUAAACUUGUGUCUUGAUUUCUCCAAGACUGAGAUACUGCACACACAACGUGAUGGUUCAUGUUCCAGAGACAGAGCAUGUCCUGCAUGAUUGGAAGAAGACCCUGGAAGAUAUGCAUGGACGUCUAGGAUCUUCCUGAUGUUUACCUGUGCUUUCUUUCUCCUGUGGUAUCAGAUCUUUUGCCUUUAUUAAAACUUCACUUAAGUAUAAUUUUGGAGUUUUUGAUUCCUUUCACUUGUAUAACCCUGUAUAAUUGCUGAAGCUUUCUUAAUAGUUUUGAUGCAGGAGGCAGGCAGAACAUAGCAAGACUUAAGUUGUAAUGGGGAAAGAAUCUGCAAUCACUUAUGUUAGCUGGGAGAGGGAGAUAAUUUAGUUAUUUUUGUAGUUUUCACAGUGUUCCGAUUUUUGUCUGUGCUUAGCUAUGAUUAAGGAGUGGUCUCGUUUUUGUCUCACUCUAUCAUGGUUCCAGAGUGACGUUGUGUAAUGUUUGUAUUCUGUGAAAUUAUAAUGUUAAGCAGGGCACACUGGCUAAGAGCUCUCAGGGAUGAAGAACCCUCAGGGAUGCUUUUUUCUAUCUUAAUUUCCUGUUUUUGGUUAAAGGCAGAUGAAUUCAAAUAUCUUCUCCCAAUUGUUAGGUUGUCUUUUCGUUUUGUUGAUGGUUUCCUUUGCUGUGCAAAAGAUUUUUAGUUUGAUGUAGUCCCAUUUGUUCAUUUUUUCUUUUGUUUCUCUUGCCCAGUCAGACAUGGUACUUGAAAAUAUGCUGCUAACACUGACGUCAAAUUGCGUACUGCCUAUGUUUUCUUCUAGAAGUUUCACGGUUUUGGGUCUUAUAUUCAAGUCUUUAAUCCAUUUUGAGUUGAUUUUUGUGCAUGAUGUAAGAUAAUGGUCUUCUUUCAUUCUUUUGCAUGUGGCUGUCCAGUUUUCCCAACGUAAUUUAUUGAAGAGACUCUCCUUUCUCCAUUGUAUGCUCUUGGCUCCAUUGUCAAAUAUUAACUGUCCAUAAAUGUGUGGUUAUUUCUGGGCUCUUGGUUCAGUUCCAUUUAUCUGUGUGUCUGUUUUUGUGCCAGUACCAUGCUGUUUUGCCUACUAUAGCUUUGUAUUAUAUUUUGAAAUCAGGGAUUGUGAUACUUCCAGCUUUGUUCUUUUUCCUCAGGAUUCCUUUGGCUAUUUGGGGACUUUUGUUUUUCCAUAUAAAUUUUAGGAUUCUCUGUUCUAUUUCUGUGAAAAAUGUUAUUGGAACUUUGAUCAAGAUUGCAUUGAAACCUAUAGAUUGUUUUGGGAAGUAUGAACAUUUUAACUAUAUUAUUUCUUCUAAUCCGAGGGCAUGGAAUAUCUUUCCAUUUCUUGGUGUCGUCUUCAAUUUCUUUCAACAAUGUUUUCUAUUUUCAGUGUAAGGAUCUUUCACCUCUUUAGUUAAGUUUUUUCCUAGGUAUUUUAUUCUUUUUGUUGAAAUAGUAAAUGGGAUUGUAUUCUUAAUUUCUCUUUCUGCUGCUUCAUUAUUAAUGUAUAGAAGUGCAACCAAUUUUUGUAUGUUGAUUCUGUA